RNAcentral lists this ribosomal RNA (422 nucleotides) under uncultured bacterium. RNAcentral describes it as "bacterial SSU rRNA". It matches the Rfam family "Bacterial small subunit ribosomal RNA", at positions 29 to 496 of the family's 1533-position model. The record is from RNAcentral.
AGCGAACGCUGGCGGCAGGCCUAACACAUGCAAGUCGAGCGCCCAGCAAUGGGAGCGGCAGACGGGAUAGUAACACGUGGGAACGUACCUUUCAGUUCGGAACAACCCAGGGAAACUUGGGCUAAUACCGAAUACGUCCGUAAGGAGAAAGAUUUAUCGCUGAAAGAUCGGCCCGCGUCUGAUUAGCUAGUUGGUGAGGUAAUGGCUCACCGAGGCGACGAUCAGUAGCUGGUCUGAGAGGAUGAUCAGCAUCACUGGGACUGAGACACGGCCCAGACUCCUACGGGAGGGCAGCAGUGGGGAAUAUUGGACAAUGGGCGCAAGCCUGAUCCAGCCAUGCCGCGUGGAUGAUGAAGGCCUUAGGGUUGUAAAGUCCUUUCGGCGGGGAAGAUAAUGACGGUACCCGCCAGAAGAAGCCCCGG